AUGUAAAUGCCACAUAACAUUGUUUGGUUAUCAGUGCCCUCCUUAUGUUUUUUUUUUUUUUUUUUGAAAUCCUGAAAAGUUUAUUUUUGGGUAAUCCAGUCAAUGACGUUUUCGUGGUAGACCCACCGGGUUGCAGGGACGCUCGACGUGACGGACUGGUUACAGCGAGAGGAGAUUGUUGGUCGCUUAGUCCCAGCUCAAACAAACCCUGGGCCCUCCCUGAAAUGGAAUUCUAGGUAGCAAACUGAUUUAUUUGCACGCGCCGCUCUAGACUUUUCUCUCACCCUCCGAACGGUUAUUAGAUAACUAUUGCCACCAAACGGAAAACUUUGGUGUUACAUCCAUUUAUGUUAUUAUAAUUUCGAAUGACGAAGAGAACACAGUAGAACAGAUUGUUUCUUUGUGUCGGGCAUAAUUUAGUUAAUUAUAUGACAUGACAGUCAAAUAUAUGACGCAGUGGAGCUAGCUAUAUGACAUGACACGUGACAGUUUAUAAUUUGCGCUAGUCUUCCUAUUAUAACCAUGCGUAUUUGUCGCCGUUGAUGAUAGUCACAGGCAUAUGAAGCCCUAUCGGUCAUGUGAAUCGAUCUGCAUACGAGCGUACGCUAAAUUGAUUAACUAGAUAAUUCAAAAAGACGUGUAACAACCCAAGUAGACAAAGUGCCAAUUAGGCUAAGCUGCAUUUGUAUAAUUACGCUCUGGACUAGGAUAGGCCUGUCUGUUGCACGAAUCGUUAUGAUUGUAAGUACAUUAAUCUUCCAAGACACUGACUCAAGAUUUAUUGGCUAUAUUGGAGAUGUAACUGUAAUGUCAUUUAAAUUCUGACAGGGGCACAUUUGUGAGCACUUGCGCAAAGAGACUUUUCAGACAGCCUGCCAAGGCCAAACAAGUUUACAUGUUAAGCUUAACAUUCAUUAUUUGUGCACUGGUCUCCAAAGUUUCUGGAGUUAUUGUAAAAUUCGUUUUUGCGUUUUCUGGCUGCAGUGCCAUGUUGUUCUGCAGUCAAAUCAAAUACGUGAAUAUGCCUUUGUUUUUGUAGCGGCUCCUUCUGGAAGAAUAUUUGUGGAAAUUUGAAAUUCUUUUUUUUAAAAGAACUAGAGAGCAUAACAACUGCAAUGGGUAGGUUUCAGCUAUCCAAUCCUAUGAAGUUUAUGUCCAAAGGCAUGACUCUGACGUAGAUGUUAUUUAUGGUUUGAUUAGAUAUGUUCAAUUUGUUUCAUAUUCGGUUGUGUUUCUGAAGACCUGCACGGAAUAUCUUUCACUCGUCGUGUGUUUGAUAAACUUUGAAGUUCUUGUCAUUGUGUACGCUUAAAAAUUUCGACUUCCUCGUUUCCCAUGAGGCACGGACGGGGUUCGAACCCGCGAUCUUCGGUUUACGAGACCGACGCCUUACCACUUGGCCACCGCGCCAGACGGCUUGCCCCAUAGAGCAAUUAUGUUAAUGCAAGAUAUCAGGAAGUUAGUUGUGUAUCUGAAAAAAAAUUACACAAUACAUUCUUCAAACCGCUAGCACAUUGAAACGAUGCAUUUUGAUUACAGUACAUGGUGCAACUGUCCCCUAUAGACAGGCCUCAUGUAUCAUACUAAUUACCCGAACGAUAUCAAUAAAUCAUAAACGUAGCUGGUUUGAUGCUAUUUUUAGGACACGCCUAUGGCGCGUGCUCUGGACGCUCAGCGUACCGACGUGAAAGUCGGGAAAACCAACUGAGUGAGUGUGACACUAAUUGAAAUACUGUGUGUACUUUAGUUAGCGGGCUCUGAUAAUUGGUUACGGAUGUUGAAGACAUUCUUACAGAUUUGUUUGUCAGCGGAAAGAUUUCGGUUGGCUGCAGUGCACUCUAUGCGGCCCUUCCCCGGGUCAGGGUGGCCCUCUCCAUGGUGUCCCCCACCAUGAAGGCCGUGGUGGACGCUGUCUGGGUGGUGUGGGGCAUCGGCGCCUCCGUCUACGACUACCUGACCACCAGCGCCAUGGAGGAGCGCAUCCACGCGCUGGAGAGCGCAAUCACGCUCCAUCAGGUCAUCAUCGGUCUGCUGACGGCCAGCCUGGUCCUGCUCUUCACCUACAUCCUGCUGAGGAAACGUUGAGGAAGCGUUGGGGAAACACUGAGGGAACGCUGAGGGAACAGGAGCACGCCAGCACCAGGGGGGAUAUGCACUGACCACAUGACAGCUUAGCUGGCUACACACAACAGGCAGUGGCAUGUAUUUUGUGUAAAGUGUGUGUGUGUGUGUGUGUGAGAAGGGGGAUAUGACCCACUGAUUCCAUUUCUGACCUAUUAGCUGCCCGUCAUCUUUUCAAGUGAUCUUAGUAGAGCAGUGGCCUAAGUAGAGCAAUCCUGUUCCUGGAGAUCUACUGUCCCGUAGGUUUUCAUUUCAUACCUGACUGGUUUUCACUUGGCACACCUGACUCUACUGAUUAGCAGCUUAACAAGAUCUCUUGCUGUUAAGUGAGGCGUGCUUUGUUAGGUUUGGAGUGAAAACCUACAGGACGGUAGAUCUCUAGCUGUUGAAUGAGGUGUGGCUUUGUUAGGGUUGGAGUGAAAACCUUCAGGACGGUAGAUCUCUCGCUGUUGAAUGGGGCGACAUAGCUCAGGACCGAUUGUCUGGCAGUCGGAGGGUUGCCGGUUCAAACCCUGCCCUGGGCAUGUCGAAGUGUCCUUGAGCAAGACACCUAACCCCUAACUGCUCUGGCGAAUUAGAGGCAUCAAUUGUAAAGCGCUUUGGAUAAAAGCGCUAUAUAAAUGCAGUCCAUUUACCAUUUUACCAUUUGAAUGAGGUGUGCUUUGUUAGGGUUGGAGUGAAAACCUACACGAUGGUAGAUGUCCAGGAACAGGGUUGGUUACCAUUGUAGUAGCGCAUGGACUACACAGUACAAUUGGAAGGAGAAAUAGAAUGCUGGAUUGCACUAAACCUAAAUCAGCCAAUUGGGCAUGGCGUUUCAGGCACUGGUUUGUCUGCAGUGCCUUCCUUUAAAGGGGGAUGGGUAAGCUAUGGAGCCAGUUGGAGAGCUGGAGGUGUGGACCUGGGACUCUAUGGAGGGGCCUGGGGGGUCAGGCUUGUGUGCAGUAGACUUCCUGUUGAAACCAGGGACAGGCAGCUCCCUCUGCACGAGAAACGCGGUUUCUGGAAGAUGUCCGACCUGCUAAAUUUCAGAGAAAUUUGGGGCGUAGAAACUUCUGCACACUCCCGGGGCCGCACACGGAGGGAAAUGUGUUCGUUUUCGGAUUUGUGUCCCGUACAGUAAAUGCCCCUUUUCGUGCCGUGUCCUGCACCACAGCCUCGUAGCUCCUCCCCCACAGCAUGCCCACCAGCUCAGUGGAUCCAAGGAGUCCCCAAAUCUUUUGGUUCCAGUGUGGAGGGGCGAAGGGGUGUGCCCCGACCCUGCUUCCACCUGAGAGCCAGGGUCACAAGCCAUAUGGACCAAAUUAUUAAUUCAACUAGCAUAAUUAAUUAUUAUUAAUUACACUGCUGUGGAAAAAAAAAAUCAUGGAUGUGCAGUUCUGCAAGGACAACAGAAUUCUCUUGAAAAACUGGACUCUUGAAUUUUAUUCUGGACAUUCAACAAGUUGGAAUGUUCAUAAACGUAUAGGGAACAAUUCUCGUGACUCAAAAACCAGAAAAUGUAUUUAAAGUGACCUUAAUCAGUGUUAAUAUGUGGCCAAAAUGCAUUGGAUUGCAGGUGAUAAUAUGUGAAAUCUGUGCUUUAUGCUUCCUCCAUAUUUAUUCCCUACUCUGUUUGCAAAGGCAUUUUCAUAAUGCAUUCAACAAUGCAAGGGCCUGUAAUUACUUUAUUAGGUAUAACAGUGAAGGCUUACGCUGCAUUAGUUAGUUGAAUGUAGCUUUUUGUAAAAAGUCAAAACACUGGCUUAUCAGUGUGCUGCUAUGAAAUGCCUUGCAUUUCUCCAAACUGUCGAUGUGACUGUAUUU
Anguilla rostrata (American eel) is the source of this 3927-nucleotide long non-coding RNA. RefSeq lists it as uncharacterized. The transcript has 2 exons. The record is from RefSeq and is a predicted model, not a curated record. Lineage: Eukaryota; Metazoa; Chordata; Actinopteri; Anguilliformes; Anguillidae.